This is a long non-coding RNA of Pygocentrus nattereri (red-bellied piranha), 579 nucleotides long. RefSeq lists it as uncharacterized. NCBI's taxonomy places the organism in Eukaryota, Metazoa, Chordata, Actinopteri, Characiformes, Serrasalmidae. The record is from RefSeq and is a predicted model, not a curated record. The transcript is spliced from 4 exons.
ACUUGAGGAGUGAGAAAAGACAAGACACAUUAAAGGGUGAAUCAGAGUUAUGGGAGUUUCUGAAAAGCCUCCAGGAAGCCACGCCCCCAAAAAUAAAUGCAUAUCUGAUCCAGCCCUGCUUUCAUCACAUUUCAUCACAUCAAACUCCACCAACAAUACGCCAACAAUGAGGCUGCAAGUCCCCCUGCUGCUCAUCUGCGUGCUUUUCCCAAAAGCGCAGACCCUGAAAUGCUAUCAGUGUUUACCUGGGUCGUCUGGAAAAUGCACAACUACCCAGACAGACUGUCCAGAGCAGUGUGCCAGCAUGACCACUGCUGUGUACAUCGGUGGUGUAAACACGGGAGAUGUUAAUGUGAAGAACUGUUCAGCAGCUGGGCAGUGUGUCUCCGGGAGCCGCAACAUGGGAAUUUUGAAAAUGACUGUCAACUCCAAAUUUCUGCAGCACUGAUCUGUGCAACACCAACAAACCACCAGCUUUGCCAAAAGGGUCUCCAAAUGGGAAGAAGUGUUACGCCUGCAUUGAUGACGACUGCUCAAGAACUGUGAGCUGUGAGGGAGAUGAGGAUCAAUGCGUCAGCA